CGGCGCUCGUGCCGGAGGGACGAUGCCGUGUGGGGACCCGUCCAGCGUGUCGACAUGGCCGACCGUUGUCCCCGGGGGCAUGUGCGCCACCCGUCGAGCCCGCCGCACUUGUGCGCCAGAAAAGCGGAGCCAAUCCCGCAGCCGCAACUCGACACGGCGGCGCCCCCGUACGCAUGGCCUUUUUUUCCGGUGCCGACCUGACGACCGACGAGAGAGAGAGAGAGAGCACGGCGGGUAGGCCGCCCUCAGGCUGUCGCAAAGGCGGUCGCGAGCCGUGAUGGGUCGGUCGCACGGUGGACGGUGCACGGACUCCAUCGGACGGUGGCCAGGUCCGGCCGCACCGCCUCAGGGGGCUUUGGCUCGGCGAUACAUUUGAUGGCGGCCGCCGAGAAGACAAAUGGGCCAUCGAAGGCUAUCCGUCGUGUUCCGGUCUCGUGCAAUGCUGCCCUGAAUCGUCGGGUUUGCGUAUCGAUUUCGAUUUCUCCGCAGGGGAUCGAUCAGCACUCAGCUAUCUGCGUAUCCGACGAGUAAACCGUUGUUGGACUUGCCAGGAAUUGGUCAGGGUCCUCGUCAUUCUUGCUGCGGUUAAAAGGGAGAAUUGAAAGGUCUGAUACUACAUGAAACAGUUUCAAUCUCGAACACAUCAACGCAGAAGUCAUGUGUCGGCAGGUUCAGGCCUAUGGCAUCAUAAAAACCCAAGGAUCUGAAACAGUUUCAAUCUCGAACUUGCUAAACCAUUUGACUAGAUUUAACAUGCCACCCAUUUUUUGCAGAUGAAAUCAUGUAAGCUUGUACCAACCAACUGAAAGAAGUGACCCCUUGCAUAGAGAUCUGUCAAGCACCCACCUAGCUACAGCACCAAACUUUUGCCAUGCAGCUGCAUGUCGCAAGAGAUACGAGGAGCAUGAAACUACAGUUCCUUGAGGGUCACUGCAGAUUGAUAUAUCCAAACAAACAUAAACAGUCACGAAGACUCACUAUCGGCAUAAAGAUCAUUUAACAAGCAGUACUAGGAAAAAACAAGGUACAACAACAUAACAAGGCUAGGUUCAGCAAUGAUCGGUACCAUUUCCGCAUCCUCUUAUUUAACUUCGCAUACCCGGUUACACGCUGCCGCAACGGCCUUGACAGAUCUUACAACAACAACAAAACCUUUGUCCCAAGCAAGUUAGGUUAGGCUAGAGAUCUUAGCUGCCCAAUAAUAGUAGGAGAUGGUGGUAGCAACAGAUGCAUUUCAUUCGCCAGUUGCACAGAAGUCAGGCGCUGCCUUGCGCUGUGCUCAAGCCAUUCAGUACUCCUGUAUCCUAGAUCCGUUGCUGUUCUGGCUGCUUGAACUUCCGCCAGGACAGCUACUAUUUUGUUUCGCCAACAUCUGCAUUUCAUCAGAGAAGCAACUUUUAUCUUAACAUGUCGGGAGUACUUAGUUGCAUUUAGCAAUUAUGCAGAAUGACUGACUAAGCUUUAUUCUGAUGAGUGUUCCUUAGCUAUCAUUUCAAGCUUCAGGUUAUACACCUAUGCUGUGUCUAGCUUAACAAUGGUGUGGAAUAUUAAGGCAGCAGAAUCCACUUGUCGUCCCAAUCAUACCACAAGGAAGCUUAAUUCGAAUAUGGCCAGAAUAUUUCUUGACAUUGGCUAUCUUGCUAUCUCAGGUCGGUUCCUACAUAACUUGUUCGCACCAUUCCUUAACAGAGUUGAGCUCUCUAACAGGACUUUUCAUGGAAGGUCCACCAUUUCUUCAUUGAGGUUAGAUUGCUCACUACAUAGUUGUGCAAUACUAGCAUGGCUUUCUUUCUUUCUUCCUUUUUUUUAAAAAAAAAAGAGGCCGGAGCAGUACUAGCAUGUCUAAGUGUGAAAUAUGCGCAUAUACAAGGUGCUAAUGCUUAGGCCACACUUAAAAAAUCCAACUAACAAUUAGCCACAUUCAAAGAAACAUGGCUCUGUGUUCUCUUAUUAUCAGCUUAUUAUUGGCCAAAGGACCAACACAUCGCCUCUAGAUGCAAAUAGUCUAUUUCAUCAAAUGCAUUUUCUCAUCUGCUUGAAAAUUGGGAAUAGGAUAAGACUUCAUCAAACCAUGCAACACAGGAUA
Molecule: long non-coding RNA, 2086 nt
Organism: Phragmites australis (common reed)
Lineage: Eukaryota; Viridiplantae; Streptophyta; Magnoliopsida; Poales; Poaceae
Exons: 2
Source: RefSeq, a predicted model, not a curated record